GAUCAUGGCUCAGAUUGAACGCUGCGGCAUGCCUUACACAUGCAAGUCGAACGGCAGCACGGGAGCUUGCUCCUGGUGGCGAGUGGCGAACGGGUGAGUAAUACAUCGGAACGUACCCUGAAGUGGGGGAUAACGUAGCGAAAGUUACGCUAAUACCGCAUAUUCUGUGAGCAGGAAAGAGGGGGAUCGCAAGACCUCUUGCUUUAGGAGCGGCCGAUGUCGGAUUAGCUAGUUGGUGAGGUAAAGGCUCACCAAGGCGACGAUCCGUAGCGGGUCUGAGAGGAUGAUCCGCCACACUGGGACUGAGACACGGCCCAGACUCCUACGGGAGGCAGCAGUGGGGAAUUUUGGACAAUGGGCGCAAGCCUGAUCCAGCCAUGCCGCGUGAGUGAAGAAGGCCUUCGGGUUGUAAAGCUCUUUCGGUGGGGAAGAAAUUGCUUCGGUUAAUACCUGGAGUAGAUGACGGUACCCGCAUAAGAAGCACCGGCUAACUACGUG
This 498-nucleotide ribosomal RNA is filed under the name uncultured bacterium. Its description in RNAcentral is "bacterial SSU rRNA". It matches the Rfam family "Bacterial small subunit ribosomal RNA", at positions 15 to 507 of the family's 1533-position model. The record is from RNAcentral.